AAUCUGCCUUGUGGUUCAGGACAACAUUGGGAAACCGAUGCUAAUACUGGAUAAGCCCUUACGGGGAAAGUUUUAAUGCCAUAAGAUGAGCCCGCAUUUGAUUAGUUAGUUGGUGAGGUAAUGGCUCACCAAGACAAUGAUCAAUAGCUGAUCUGAGAGGAUGAUCAGCCACACUGGGACUGAGACACGGCCCAGACUCCUACGGGAGGCAGCAGUGGGGAAUCUUGCACAAUGGAGGAAACUCUGAUGCAGCGAUGCCGCGUGAGUGAAGAAGGCCUUUGGGUUGUAAAACUCUUUUGUAGGGGAAGAUAAUGACUGUACCCUAAGAAUAAGGUCCGGCUAACUUCGUGCCAGCAGCCGCGGUAAUACGAAGGGACCUAGCGUAGUUCGGAAUUACUGGGCGUAAAGCGCGCGUAGGCCGUUGAGUUAGUUAAUUGCGAAAUCCCAAAGCUUAACUUUGGAACUGCAAUUAAAACUGCUCGACUAGAGUUUGAUAGAGGAAAGCGGAAUACAUAGUGUAGAGGUGAAAUUCGUAGAUAUUAUGUAGAACACCAGUUGCGAAGGCGGCUUUCUGGAUCAACACUGACGCUGAGGCGCGAAAGUAUGGGUAGCAAAGAGGAUUAGAUACCCUCGUAGUCCAUACCAUAAACGAUGAU
RNAcentral lists this ribosomal RNA (656 nucleotides) under uncultured bacterium. RNAcentral's name for it is "bacterial SSU rRNA". It matches the Rfam family "Bacterial small subunit ribosomal RNA", at positions 123 to 813 of the family's 1533-position model. The record is from RNAcentral.